CCAAAGGCUCUUUUCAGAGCCCCCACUCUGUCUAAACAGCGCUGUGU
Non-coding RNA from Xenopus tropicalis (tropical clawed frog), 47 nucleotides. NCBI's taxonomy places the organism in Eukaryota, Metazoa, Chordata, Amphibia, Anura, Pipidae. The record is from Rfam.